Molecule: non-coding RNA, 223 nt
Organism: Schizosaccharomyces pombe (fission yeast)
Lineage: Eukaryota; Fungi; Ascomycota; Schizosaccharomycetes; Schizosaccharomycetales; Schizosaccharomycetaceae
Source: the annotation of a GenBank genome assembly
UCACACGAACGGGAGAAUUCAAGUAGGCGUACAACUCACACAUACCAUCGGAUGUAUUAGAGGGUCCAAAGCCACAGUCGCUCAAAGGGAAUACCUCCUCGUUAACAAGAUGGCGGACAUAGUACUUAGAAUCUUCACAUUGGAAAAGCUCAGUAAUCAAAUUACCAGCAAAUGGGACAAAUUCAGAAGCCUUCAUGGAGUGAGAGUGGACUUGGUAGGAAGU